This 175-nucleotide ribosomal RNA is filed under the name Scardinius erythrophthalmus (rudd). Its description in RNAcentral is "partial small subunit ribosomal RNA". The record is from RNAcentral. Lineage: Eukaryota; Metazoa; Chordata; Actinopteri; Cypriniformes; Leuciscidae.
CACCGCGGUUAAACGAGAGGCCCCAGUUAAUAAUACACGGCGUAAAGGGUGGUUAAGGAGAGCAUAACGAUAAAGCCGAAUGGCCCUUUGGCUGUCAUACGCUUCUAGGUGUCCGAAGCCCAAUAUACGAAAGUAGCUUUAGUAAAGCCCACCUGACCCCACGAAAGCUGAGAAA